RNAcentral lists this ribosomal RNA (432 nucleotides) under uncultured bacterium. RNAcentral describes it as "partial 16S ribosomal RNA". It matches the Rfam family "Bacterial small subunit ribosomal RNA", at positions 29 to 506 of the family's 1533-position model. The record is from RNAcentral.
AACGAACGCUGGCGGCAUGCCUAACACAUGCAAGUCGAACGAGACCUUCGGGUCUAGUGGCGCACGGGUGCGUAACGCGUGGGAACCUGCCCUUAGGUUCGGAAUAACUCCCCGAAAGGGGUGCUAAUACCGGAUAAUGUCUUCGGACCAAAGAUUUAUCGCCUUUGGAUGGGCCCGCGUUGGAUUAGCUAGUUGGUAGGGUAAAAGCCUACCAAGGCGACGAUCCAUAGCUGGUCUGAGAGGAUGAUCAGCCACACUGGGACUGAGACACGGCCCAGACUCCUACGGGAGGCAGGAGGGGGGAAUUUUGGAAAAUGGGCGAAAGCCUGACCCAGCAAUGCCGCGUGAGUGAUGAAGGCCUUAGGGUUGUAAAGCUUUUUUACCCGGGAUGAUAAUGACAGUACCGGGAGAAUAAGCCCCGGCUAACCCCGU